This 461-nucleotide ribosomal RNA is filed under the name uncultured Desulfobulbus sp. RNAcentral's name for it is "bacterial SSU rRNA". It matches the Rfam family "Bacterial small subunit ribosomal RNA", at positions 930 to 1382 of the family's 1533-position model. The record is from RNAcentral. Lineage: Bacteria; Pseudomonadati; Thermodesulfobacteriota; Desulfobulbia; Desulfobulbales; Desulfobulbaceae.
CGGUGGAGCACGUGGUUUAAUUCGAUGCAAACCGAAGAACCUUACCUGGGUUUGACAUGCAGGUGGUAGAGAGAAGAGAUUUAAUCGACUCUGCAGUAAUGCAGAGAGCCUGCACAGGUGCUGCAUGGCUGUCGUCAGCUCGUGUCGUGAGAUGUUGGGUUAAGUCCCGCAACGAGCGCAACCCUUGCCUUUAGUUGCCAGCAGUUCGGCUGGGCACUCUAAAGGGACUGCCGGUGUUAAACCGGAGGAAGGUGGGGAUGACGUCAAGUCCUCAUGGCCUUUAUGACCAGGGCUACACACGUACUACAAUGGCCGAUACAAAGGGCAGCGACACUGCGAGGUGAAGCCAAUCCCGUAAAAUCGGUCUCAGUCCGGAUUGGAGUCUGCAACUCGACUCCAUGAAGUUGGAAUCGCUAGUAAUCGUGGAUCAGCAUGCCACGGUGAAUACGUUCCCGGGCCUU